UACGGAGGAUGCAAGCGUUAUCCGGAAUGAUUGGGCGUAAAGCGUCCGCAGGUGGCAAUGUAAGUCUGCUGUCAAAGCGUCUGGCUCAACCAGAUAAAGGCAGUGGAAACUACAUAGCUAGAGUAAGAUAGGGGUAGAGGGAAUUCCUGGUGUAGCGGUGAAAUGCGUAGAGAUCAGGAAGAACACCGGUGGCGAAAGCGCUCUGCUGGACCUUAACUGACACUGAGGGACGAAAGCUAGGGGAGCGAAUGGG
This 253-nucleotide ribosomal RNA is filed under the name uncultured bacterium. RNAcentral's name for it is "partial 16S ribosomal RNA". It matches the Rfam family "Bacterial small subunit ribosomal RNA", at positions 524 to 776 of the family's 1533-position model. The record is from RNAcentral.